Molecule: long non-coding RNA, 818 nt
Organism: Chelonia mydas (Green sea turtle)
Lineage: Eukaryota; Metazoa; Chordata; Testudines; Cheloniidae
Exons: 4
Source: RefSeq, a predicted model, not a curated record
AGGCCACUUGGAGGACUUCUCUUCUGCUCCUCUCUGGAACAGAGUGCGAUAGGAACCUAAGGCCUUCAGCAGGGUCACAGACUGCCAGUGUAAAUUAAAACAACCUGAACUCAGCGUAUGGUAGAAGAAGCACAUAAAUGUGCACCAGGAGUGGAGCAGUGAAAGCGAGUCCUUUAAGCCACUUUUAUAUUCCAUCCACUAACCUGCACUUUCUCCAGUCUGGGAGUACUUGAGGAGUCCCACCAUGUCUACUCCUGUUUGCUCAAAAGGAUCAUCUGAAUGGAAAGGGCACUAAUGGAGCUUUGACACUACUUUGGAAGACACUAAUGUGAGUCAGGAGGCACAUAAGUUGGCUACUUCUCUGUAUAUUGCCAGCCAUAAAAGAAAAUAUUGUGUGAAUUUAAUGUUCCUGAAAAAUAAGGGCGUGAUGGCACUUGCCUGAGCCAGCCAUAAAGCAGACUGAAAUUGAACAAGCCCAUCAUUUAAAGCUCUGCCAAUGCACCAUGAUUCUGACCUGCAGGACCCUGCUAUUGUCCUGGACCUCUUGAGUGAAAAUCUUCUAUCGUGCCAAAAUAGUGUGGUGAUUUUGUGAAGCACGUAAAUGGAGACCAGGCUGAGACAACUAAGCUCAUAUUCAUGCUUGUGGCCUCAUCAGAAUUUGAAUCUUGGUCUCCAGAGGUCCUCUGGCUUCCUUAAAUUUCAUUUUUGUGAAUAAUGAAGAUAGUUUUCAGUUUUACAAGCAGAGAAAUGUCUUAAACCAAUAAACAUUUUAUAUCUGUGUCAAAAGAUGCUUAAAAACAGCCAACCCAUGUUUUUUU